RNAcentral lists this transfer RNA (70 nucleotides) under Dipodomys ordii (Ord's kangaroo rat). It matches the Rfam family "tRNA". From Rfam's summary of the family: Transfer RNA (tRNA) molecules are approximately 80 nucleotides in length. Their secondary structure includes four short double-helical elements and three loops (D, anti-codon, and T loops). Lineage: Eukaryota; Metazoa; Chordata; Mammalia; Rodentia; Heteromyidae. The record is from Rfam by way of RNAcentral.
GGGAAUGUAGCUUAAUGGUAGAGUGCUUGCCUAGCAUGCAUGAAGCCCUGGGUUCGAUUCCUUAGUACCA